UACGGAAGGUCCAGGCGUUAUCCGGAUUUAUUGGGUUUAAAGGGAGCGCAGGCGGCCUUUUAAGCGUGACGUGAAAUGCAGUCGCCCAACGUCUGACGUGCGUCGCGAACUGGUAGGCUUGAGUGCACCGGAGGUAUGCGGAAUUCGUGGUGUAGCGGUGAAAUGCUUAGAUAUCACGAAGAACCCCGAUUGCGAAGGCAGCAUGCCGUAGUGUUACUGACGCUCAUGCUCGAAAGCGCGGGUAUCGAAC
Molecule: ribosomal RNA, 250 nt
Filed under: uncultured prokaryote
Description: partial 16S ribosomal RNA
Rfam family: Bacterial small subunit ribosomal RNA
Source: RNAcentral